RNAcentral lists this long non-coding RNA (239 nucleotides) under Setaria italica (foxtail millet). RNAcentral describes it as "long non-coding RNA (SITA_LNC006550)". Lineage: Eukaryota; Viridiplantae; Streptophyta; Magnoliopsida; Poales; Poaceae. The record is from RNAcentral.
UUUCAGUUGUGAAGUUCAUUCAGUUUGGUAAUGGCAUUCUAGGCCGUUGAAGCUUAUUAUUCUGAAGCUCAUUCAGUUCUGAAGUUCGGUAGUGGCAUUCUAGGCCGAGCUCAUUCUAUGUUUACUGUUUGUGCCUGCCUCUAUGCAAAGUAAUGCUUCCCAACCUACAAUUGCUUGAGCGGAGCUGUUAUAAUCAAAAUAUUCCUUAGUUCCUCUGAUGCAAAGAUGAGCUGUUCAAU